Brassica napus (rape) is the source of this 1409-nucleotide long non-coding RNA. RefSeq lists it as uncharacterized. The transcript is spliced from 2 exons. Lineage: Eukaryota; Viridiplantae; Streptophyta; Magnoliopsida; Brassicales; Brassicaceae. The record is from RefSeq and is a predicted model, not a curated record.
UUCUGAGUUGAGCGUUGGGCUGUGAAGUUCGUUGUUCUGUCGGACCUGACUGAGUGAUGUUCUCGCUAACCUUAAUACGACGGAGAAGAAACCAAGGUCCUCUUCCCCCUUCGUGCGGCGGUGACCUGAUGCGUUUGCACUUCUUCACAUCAGUCGAAACGGUCUGAAUGAAGGCUUCGUGAUUAAUCUCAUUGAUUCACUCCCCCCACUGCAUCGUCUUCAAUGCUUCUUCGAUCUAAAAGACUGUGAUUUCUUAGUAUAAAUAUGUGGAGGCUAGCAAGCGAUGGGGCAAGCGGUGGAGCAAGCACGGAGCAAGCGGCAGAGAGCUGAUGGACCAAGUGACGGGCAGAUCAAGAUGGAUAGCCAUGGAACAAGUUACGGAGAGUGUGAAGAGAGAGAUAGCAAAGUCGAUUGCUGCAGUUCAAGCUCUCACAUGGGAGCCGAUAGGCUAUCGGACAUGGUGAGUUUAUAAGAGCUGGAAUUUUUUUUUAUUUUUUUGUACGAUAAAGGGAAUGAAGGAUUAGUUUAAGGUGAUUUAUUUUUGCCAAAAAUAGGUUUGUUAUUUUGUCUCCUUCACACUUUCCCCUUUCUCAUAUUUUCGUCUCUUUCUCAGUAAAUUCCAAGUUGUUUCUUCUUCUUUUUUAAUUGCGUCAAUCAAACAGUUUGAACGUCACGCUCUCUCCAGUCUUCUUCUUUAUUCAUUUUAUAAAUAUCAAGUGAUGAUCCAAAUCGAUUCUCAACUUUCCUCUCCCUUAUAAUUCUGAUUUACGGAGCCUUCUGGUUUGAUUGUUUUUGUUGGCUUAUUUCCGAACCAAUCGUCUCUCACUUCUGAGAAAUCGACAAGGAGAGCGAUGUAGUAAGAAACGGAGAGAACGAGAUGGAGAGCAACAUAGUAAGUGACAGAGGUAUUGAGAUGAAGAGCGUAACGGAGAAGUCGAGUAUAGACACGAAGCAAGUGAAUAAGAUGGAGCAUUUUUAUAUAUCUUCUGGUCAGAUCUGCUUAAAUAAGUUUAGCUAUGACCAAAACUAAGAAACAAUACACAUAAGUUUGAUAUUGUUUAUGCUAUUUUCCUAAAUAUUGUUUAUCCUAUUUUUCAAUUUCAGACGAAGUGGUCUUGCUUGAUGUUAUUUGAUCUCCAGAUAUUGACAUCGUUCACGAUUCUUAAAGGUAAUCAAAUAUUUUCCAUACAUGGGUUUUUCACAAGGAAGAACCAAGAGAGACAAUGAGAUGUCAAUGAACCGAAUCUGGAUGCUUUUGUCAUGAAUUAUGACUAUACAUUUCUUCUUCUUUUGAGCUUCUGAGCAUCAAAUAUGUUUACACAAGAACGAUAUGAAUCAUGUAUUUAUGACGAAUGACUUCUGAGGCUUUCAGAUGAUUUGCAAUGAUAUGCUCAAUGACUUUGGUAGAC